UGAGAUUAAGUCCACGGACAGGCGUGACACAUGCAAACUUUUCGUUUAGGUGAACAUACGCCUUUCAUAUAGAGGUGGUGCCCGUUGAUGACUACUCUCACGCAAGCUUGGUUGCAUAAUUCUUGACCAUUUUUCUUAGCACAAGUUCCAUGCGGACCAUGCGGUAGGCGUAGGUUUGCUUCUAUAUUACAUCUAAAUCGUGUAUGUGUUGCUGGUGGUGGUUCUUGUGCUUUUUUUUGCAUUAAUGAUCCAUAUAUCUGCAAGAAACAUUUAAAUUUCUUUGAUUAAAAUUUCAAAUGUUAAAAAAAAGUAUUCAAAUUUCUUUGAUUAAAUUUGCAUAUAUUUAUUUUUAGUUUUCUUUGUUGAAACAAAUAAAACUAAAAAAAAAUCAUUAUUAUUUGGGUUUUGAUUGAUCAACUUUUACGGUUACAAGUUAUAAACAUACAUAUCUAAAUAAAAUUAAAAAUAUUUGAGAAACAAAACAUUUUUGGUUUUAUAAAAAAACUUUUCAAAAUAGAAGUGUAAACGGAUUACAGUUUGUGUUUAAUAAUAAUGUUACAUAAAAUAAAAUAUAAAUAACAAAUUGAGUUUCAACGAAAUCUCUAAAUCAUGAUGUUUAACUAUUACCUGUCAAAAUCAUGAAAAUCACCAAAUGAGUGAUGAAAACAAUGGCAUUCACACUUUUAGCCAUUCACUUUUACUUUAGUUGCACGUUAAUCUUUG
RNAcentral lists this long non-coding RNA (723 nucleotides) under Eutrema salsugineum. RNAcentral's name for it is "long non-coding RNA (ESAL_LNC001782)". The record is from RNAcentral. Lineage: Eukaryota; Viridiplantae; Streptophyta; Magnoliopsida; Brassicales; Brassicaceae.